This 54-nucleotide transfer RNA is filed under the name Araneus angulatus. Its description in RNAcentral is "tRNA-Phe". Lineage: Eukaryota; Metazoa; Arthropoda; Arachnida; Araneae; Araneidae. The record is from RNAcentral.
AUUUUUAUAGCUUAUAAAGAGCACUUUACUGAAGAUAAAGAAGUCUUAACAUUA